Ciona savignyi (Pacific transparent sea squirt) is the source of this 73-nucleotide non-coding RNA. The record is from Rfam. Lineage: Eukaryota; Metazoa; Chordata; Ascidiacea; Phlebobranchia; Cionidae.
AGCAGAGUGGCGCAGCGGAAGCGUGCUGGGCCGAUAACCCAGAGGUCUGAUGGUUCGAAACCAUCCUCUGCUA